RNAcentral lists this non-coding RNA (176 nucleotides) under Candidatus Jorgensenbacteria bacterium GW2011_GWC1_48_8. The record is from RNAcentral. Lineage: Bacteria; Candidatus Joergenseniibacteriota.
CAAAGACGGUUUAGAUGAGCUUUUGGAGAUAAGGGAAAAGAUAAAUAUUGGAGCAGGCAGAACCAGAAAAUACACGAAGAAGGACGUGUUGUUAGAAUCCUCAGAGACUAUACGCUAACUUCCUUAUUUGGAUAGAUAAGGAAAUGAUAUAGUCCGACCUGCAUGGAAACAUGUAG